CUCAAUUAUGUCUAAAGUAGAUAACAAAUGACCUCAGUAAAUACAUAUAUGAGGUGCUAGCUGGAAUAUGGAUGUUGAAGAAUUAUAAAGAACAACACCACAAUAAACAAGUUGUUUAGCCUGGAAAAGUGAUGACAGAGGACUUGGUAGAAAUAAAGCAUGACAAAGAAGCUAAGCAGGACACUGAGAUUUAACUGAAUUUAAGGUACUUGCAUGGACUUACUUCCACAUGGGAGUAGAAUCAGAAGACAACCAUGCUUUGCCAUGAUAUCUGAAGAAAUUACCACUAACUCUGCCCAGCUCCUCUCUGCCACCUUUUUACUGGAGACUGCUGCUCAUUCAGAUCUGGUGAUGCAUCCUGUAUACCAGAUGUAGAGAAGCCGGUCUAUCCAGCCUAGAGUGAAUACAUCCUUUCAUUUACUCCCCUUCCUUAAAUGUGGAGCCCAUUUUGAAGUAAAGGGAGGGAAAAUGCUGUGAUUCAUACAGUAUCAAUAUUUACAUCUAUGAGUCCACAGAUUUGUUAAACUGUUUAGAAAUCUCAAAGAGACUAAGCAUUCAUUUUCUGUAAAGGAAAAAAUGAGCAAUCUAUUUUGCCAGGACCUUCUGUGCUGAAAAUAUUCUGGUCCUUCUCAUAAAUACUUUUGUGACAGACCAGUGAGGCUUGCUCUAAAAUGUCAACCAUCAAGAGGCUGCUAGCUUAAUCCUCUUCAUCUGAGAAACUAUAGAGGUAUCCUGGUAUACAUUAUAUCUGGAAACAAGUAUUGGCCAAUAAUUGACUUCUGGGAUGUUUGUUUACCUCUUUCUUGGACCGUAUGUCCUUGAUUGCAAAUAUAAAUUCUUCAAAAAUUAAUUACAUGGUUAAGUAGGUGAGAUAUUAAUUUUUUUAAAAAAUAUGUGGGAGACCAAAUUUAGCCGUUACAGAAUUAUUGCUGCUCACCUGGAGCACAACAGUGCCAAAGGAGAAAUCUCAAAGACGAAAUCACAAAGUUACACCAGUGUAAAUGAGCUUGGGACAUGGAUUAACAUGUGUAGCUGAGGGCAGGAUGUGUUGAUGCUGCAUGUUGAGGCUGUCUGGGUUCUCUACUGUCACUUAACUCUUGUAUACUGGCAGAGGGGAGAGCUAAAUGGUGGACUUAAUACCACUCACACUAUUCACCAAUA
Molecule: long non-coding RNA, 1161 nt
Filed under: Anser brachyrhynchus (Pink-footed goose)
Lineage: Eukaryota; Metazoa; Chordata; Aves; Anseriformes; Anatidae
Description: lncRNA (ENSABRG00000006265.1)
Source: RNAcentral